CUCAUUCGGAUCGGAGUCUGCAACCCGACUCCGUGAAGCUGGAUUCGCUAGUAAUCGCGCAUCAGCCAUGGCGCGGUGAAUACGUUCCCGGGCCUUGUACACACCGCCCGUCAAGCCAUGGAAGCCGGGGGUGCCUGAAGUGUGCAGCCGCAAGGAGCGCCCUAAGGUAAAACCGGUGACUGGGGCUAAGUCGUAACAAGGUAAC
Molecule: ribosomal RNA, 205 nt
Filed under: uncultured bacterium
Lineage: Bacteria
Description: partial 16S ribosomal RNA
Rfam family: Bacterial small subunit ribosomal RNA
Source: RNAcentral